Molecule: transfer RNA, 88 nt
Filed under: Candidatus Kuenenia stuttgartensis
Lineage: Bacteria; Pseudomonadati; Planctomycetota; Candidatus Brocadiia; Candidatus Brocadiales; Candidatus Brocadiaceae
Description: Candidatus Kuenenia stuttgartiensis tRNA-Leu
Rfam family: tRNA
About the family: Transfer RNA (tRNA) molecules are approximately 80 nucleotides in length. Their secondary structure includes four short double-helical elements and three loops (D, anti-codon, and T loops).
Source: RNAcentral
UGCCAGAGUGGUGGAAUUGGCAGACACGCCAGACUCAAAAUCUGGUCAUCUUCACCGGUGGUGUGGGUUCGAGUCCCACCUCUGGCAU